CUGGUGUCAACAGCGGCUAAUGACGAGAGCGCGUUGGACCCCAGGCGAGGUUGUUAUUGAUUGGCAUGGCGAGCGAGGUUGCUCCCUACGAAUACGUGAGGUGCUGUUUCCAAGGUAACAACUCUAUGGAGAAUUGGCCACCUGAAAUCCAGACGGAGAGGAAAAGGAGGGCGACCAGCGGUCUGCAGGCUCUUCACUGCGCCUCCGUCCGUCCGGCUCUUUCCUGCGCUGUGGCCCUCAGAGACUAUCAGUCCUCAUUAGCACAAGACGUCUUCCUACCAGCACUACCUUACACCCGUGGGAGGGGGAGGCAGGGAGAGAGAGAGAGAGAGAGACCUUUCUUGAAAUGACGGCCAUUAGCGUUCCUGGUGUGGAGAUCAGUCUACUAUUCAAAGAUGUGCAUACAUGCGUAAAGGCA
Molecule: long non-coding RNA, 418 nt
Organism: Gasterosteus aculeatus aculeatus (three-spined stickleback)
Lineage: Eukaryota; Metazoa; Chordata; Actinopteri; Perciformes; Gasterosteidae
Source: Ensembl